Molecule: ribosomal RNA, 1006 nt
Filed under: Arthrobacter sp. M1(2014)
Lineage: Bacteria; Bacillati; Actinomycetota; Actinomycetes; Micrococcales; Micrococcaceae
Description: bacterial SSU rRNA
Rfam family: Bacterial small subunit ribosomal RNA
Source: RNAcentral
GGGGGAUUAGUGGCGAACGGGUGAGUAACACGUGAGUAACCUGCCCUUGACUCUGGGAUAAGCCUGGGAAACUGGGUCUAAUACCGGAUAUGACUGUCUGACGCAUGUCAGGUGGUGGAAAGCUUUUGUGGUUUUGGAUGGACUCGCGGCCUAUCAGCUUGUUGGUGGGGUAAUGGCCUACCAAGGCGACGACGGGUAGCCGGCCUGAGAGGGUGACCGGCCACACUGGGACUGAGACACGGCCCAGACUCCUACGGGAGGCAGCAGUGGGGAAUAUUGCACAAUGGGCGCAAGCCUGAUGCAGCGACGCCGCGUGAGGGAUGACGGCCUUCGGGUUGUAAACCUCUUUCAGUAGGGAAGAAGCGAAAGUGACGGUACCUGCAGAAGAAGCGCCGGCUAACUACGUGCCAGCAGCCGCGGUAAUACGUAGGGCGCAAGCGUUAUCCGGAAUUAUUGGGCGUAAAGAGCUCGUAGGCGGUUUGUCGCGUCUGCUGUGAAAGACCGGGGCUCAACUCCGGUUCUGCAGUGGGUACGGGCAGACUAGAGUGCAGUAGGGGAGACUGGAAUUCCUGGUGUAGCGGUGAAAUGCGCAGAUAUCAGGAGGAACACCGAUGGCGAAGGCAGGUCUCUGGGCUGUAACUGACGCUGAGGAGCGAAAGCAUGGGGAGCGAACAGGAUUAGAUACCCUGGUAGUCCAUGCCGUAAACGUUGGGCACUAGGUGUUGGGGGACAUUCCACGUUUUCCGCGCCGUAGCUAACGCAUUAAGUGCCCCGCCUGGGGAGUACGGCCGCAAGGCUAAAACUCAAAGGAAUUGACGGGGGCCCGCACAAGCGGCGGAGCAUGCGGAUUAAUUCGAUGCAACGCGAAGAACCUUACCAAGGCUUGACAUGAACCGGUAAUACCUGGAAACAGGUGCCCCGCUUGCGGUCGGUUUACAGGUGGUGCAUGGUUGUCGUCAGCUCGUGUCGUGAGAUGUUGGGUUAAGUCCCGCAACGAGCGCAACCC